GGCUGCGCUCCACUCAGUGCUCAGAAGAGCCGCUGCAGCGCCGCCGCCGCCACCUGUCCAGGCACGGCGAGCCCCCGGUCACCGCCAUCCCCGCCGCCGGUGGGCUCCUCUCCAGCGGCCCCUGCCCUGCUCGCUCUUCUCCAACCAGAGCCCGGGCUGGCGUCGCCCCUUCCCCUCCCCCCCCGGAGAGAGAGAGCGAGCGAGCGAGAGAGAGCUGGGCGAGGGUCUAAGGGAGCCCUAAGCGACGGGCCAAGCGACGCUCCCGCCGGUGUCCUGGCCCCAGGAACAGUAGCGAAGGACAAGUGAGACCCCGGAAGUGCUGUGGGCCGACGGCCAAGACUACGAUGCCUGGAGGGAUGGAAAUGGAGGAAGGCAGCACCUCUCCCCAAUGAACGCCGCUCUUAGCCCCCGGACCGAAGCCCCACAGAGCCGAGCAAGAGUGGGAGGAGGAGAGGGAGAAAGAAGAGAGAGGCGCGCUGGGAAAACCUGGAUCUGGAUUCACUGGAGUUGCGAGCUCCACCUACAGCUUGGCGCCCUCGAGUGAGCCGGGGAAGGGGUGAGGAGGUAAAAACCGGUAGUGACCCUUAUGAAUAAAUAUUUGCAAAAGUAUUUUCAGUAUUUCAGCUAAAAUAAUUGUGAACAACUUUUAGCUAUUGUUCAAGAGUAAUAUUGCUCUAUAUUUCUUAUUAGAGCCAGAUCUUAUCCCUCUUUGGGUAUUAAUGUUAUAUUGGCCUCUUUCCAAAUUUCUGACAUCUUAUCUCCUUACAGGUUAAAAUUUAUUGUGUUUUAUAAUGGUUGUAAAAGUUCAUCCUCAAAACAUUUAUAAUACAAACCCGUUAAUCCAUCCAGGCACCUUUCUUGGUUUAUUCUUUUUCAUAGCUUCCAAAAUUGUCCUUAUUGUUAUAGGUUCAUUCAUAAUUUGUCUUUAUUUUUCUGUAAUCCAUGGUAAAUUUUAUUUUCUAAGGUAUUCAUCUAUUUUCUCCAAAGAAAUAUUAUGUCCUUUAUAUAAACUAGAAUAUUGAUGUAACACAUUUUGCAAAGCCAUAUUGUCAUAACAGUAUCUGUUAUCUUGACGUUUCAAUAUAGUUUCAUUUUUCUUUCUUUUCUUAGUUUUAAUGAUCUUAGUUUAAAUGCCAGUCAGUUCCCUGAUUUACUCACAAAUUCAAAAUUGUUGUGGUUUUUUUUUGCUUUAUACAGUUUAAUGUUUUUCCAUGUUUCUUACUGUUAACAUAGAUAGCUGUUGCUGUGAAAGCUUAAUUUGUUGAGAGAUAUACUUAUCUUCUCUGGAAAUGUCUAUACUUAUACUUUUCUUUUUAUCUGCAGUCCUUUCCCACAGAGAGGGUCUCCUCAGGGUGCCAUCAGCCAAGUUAUGUCGGCUGGCGACACCCAGGGGGAGGGCCUUCUCUGUGGGAGCCCCAGCCCUGUGGAACGAACUGCCCCCGGAAAUUCGUAAGAUCUCCGACCUCCGGGUGUUUCGCUGCGCAUUGAAGACCCUGUUGUGCCGCCAGGCCGGACUAUCAACACAAUAGUUUUAAAUUGGGGUAUUUAAAUUUUUUGGGGUUUUAAAUCUGAGCCAAUUUAUUUAAUUAUUUUAAAUUUUAUAUUGUUGUUUUGUCUGUGUUUUUAAAUAGGCUGUACACCGCCCUGAGUCCUUCGGGAGAAGGGCGGUAUAGAAAUAUUAUUAUUAUUAUUAUUAUUAUUAUUAUUAUUAUUAUUAUUAUUAUUAUUAUCAUCAUCUCAUACUUUCAUACUUUCUCUUGCUUCUUCUUAAGUUUGGUAUUAUGUUAUAUUAAAUAACCUCUAAUAAAAGCAUUACUUGCAUCCUAAAUAAUUCUUAAGUUGGUGCCUUUAUUUGAAUUAGUUUCAAAAAAUAUUUAAAUGUCUUUUUGCAGCCUUCCAUUAUGGCUUGUUUCUGUAACUUUUCAUUUAAUAACUAUCUAAAAGAACUAGAAAUCUUCAAGGUAAUUUAUCUUGAUUUUAAUAUUUUUCUCAGAAGUUCUGUCCAGUUGGUAGGGGGGUCACUCCAUUCCAAUCCUGCAUCAAACAGUUUCCAUUAGUGAAAUCCUCUUUUGAAGAGCAUUUACUCCAUUUAUAUUCCAUGUUCCAUUUGUAAUCUAUGAUCAGGCCAAAAAUUUAGAAAAGUCAAUACAUGCAGUGCCUAAUUCAGUACCAUGUCUUUCAAAUUCUUGUUGCAUCUGUUGUAAUUUUCGUGUAAUUUCUUCUAACACUUCCAUUUGGAUCUCUUCCAGUUCUCCUUUAAAUCUUCUAGGAACUCUCUUACCUUCUAAACAGAAUUCAGUCAAAAUCUCUGUUGUUUAAGAAUAAACAAUCAUACCUUCCAAUUUGUCCCAUCACAAUGGGAUCUUUAUCUGCUUUAAUGUUUCAGACAAAAAAUAUUACUUUUUUCUCUCGCAUAAAAUUCUGAUAGGAAUUAUUUUUAAAGAAAUUAUAUCUCUACUCUAAAUUUUAAAUCUUAUAUUAAAAAGCUGCUGUAAAAUUGUUUUAUUAAAGAUCAGGAAAUACAGUUAGAAACCAAAAACUGGGAAAAGGUUAUUAUAUAUAUUGUCAUAUGAUGGAAUUUAUUUUAGUUACUAUGUACAAGUAAAUAUUAGAUGUUAAAAUUAUUAUUAUUAUGUAUGUUUAAAAAGUAAAAACUAAGAGAUGAUGGACAGGCUUACUAAGAUAGAUAAGCAAAUACUAUUAUGUGAUCACCAUCAAUGUUAUGAAUAUGAAUAUUAAUAUUAUUACUAUUAUUUCUUAAAAUGAACUGUACCCAGACAAUACACUGAUCAUGUAGAUACUGAUGUUAAAUAAAAAAAACCUUGAAAAAUAAA
Molecule: non-coding RNA, 2834 nt
Organism: Pantherophis guttatus
Lineage: Eukaryota; Metazoa; Chordata; Lepidosauria; Squamata; Colubridae
Source: RefSeq, a predicted model, not a curated record